RNAcentral lists this ribosomal RNA (818 nucleotides) under uncultured bacterium. RNAcentral's name for it is "bacterial SSU rRNA". It matches the Rfam family "Bacterial small subunit ribosomal RNA", at positions 636 to 1453 of the family's 1533-position model. The record is from RNAcentral.
UNUGACUCGAGUGCAGAAGGGGAGAGUGGAAUUCCAUGUGUAGCGGUGAAAUGCGUAGAUAUAUGGAGGAACACCAGUGGCGAAAGCGGCUCUCUGGUCUGUCACUGACGCUGAGGCUNGAAAGCGUGGGUAGCGAACAGGAUUAGAUACCCUGGUAGUNCACGCCGUAAACGAUGAGUGCUAGGUGUUAGGCCCUUUCCGGGGCUUAGUGCCGGAGCUAACGCAAUAAGCACUCCGCCUGGGGAGUACGACCGCAAGGUUGAAACUCAAAGGAAUUGACGGGGGCCCGCACAAGCGGUGGAGCAUGUGGUUUAAUUCGAAGCAACGCGAAGAACCUUACCAGGUCUUGACAUCCCGAUGCUAUUCUUAGAGAUAGGAAGUUACUUCGGUACAUCGGAGACAGGUGGUGCAUGGUUGUCGUCAGCUCGUGUCGUGAGAUGUUGGGUUAAGUCCCGCAACGAGCGCAACCCUUAUUGUUAGUUGCCAUCAUUAAGUUGGGCACUCUAGCGAGACUGCCGGUAAUAAACCGGAGGAAGGUGGGGAUGACGUCAAAUCAUCAUGCCCCUUAUGACCUGGGCUACACACGUGCUACAGUGGUCGGUACAACGAGUUGCGAGCCGGUGACGGCAAGCUAAUCUCUGAAAGCCGAUCUCAGUUCGGAUUGGAGGCUGCAACUCGCCUCCAUGAAGUCGGAAUCGCUAGUAAUCGCGGAUCAGCACGCCGCGGUGAAUACGUUCCCGGGCCUUGUACACACCGCCCGUCACACCACGAGAGUUUGUAACACCCGAAGUCGGUGAGGUAACCUUUUAGGGGCCAGC